AUUGCUUCUUACAGGUGAACUCUCUUAUAUCUUUAAUUGGGGAUGUUCAUGUUUCAGAAGCAUAGAUAAAAUAGAAAAAUUUCUUGCCAGUAUUAAACAACAUGGUGUGCUCAUCUUCAUUGCCCCCAUGUUACCUGUCUCUUGGCAUAUCU
RNAcentral lists this small nucleolar RNA (152 nucleotides) under Macleaya cordata. RNAcentral's name for it is "small nucleolar RNA snoR137". It matches the Rfam family "small nucleolar RNA snoR137". Lineage: Eukaryota; Viridiplantae; Streptophyta; Magnoliopsida; Ranunculales; Papaveraceae. The record is from Rfam by way of RNAcentral.